Molecule: RNA transcript, 1637 nt
Organism: Tribolium castaneum (red flour beetle)
Lineage: Eukaryota; Metazoa; Arthropoda; Insecta; Coleoptera; Tenebrionidae
Exons: 9
Source: RefSeq, marked provisional
GCUGCUAAAAGAAUCAUGGAGAAUCGACAAGACCAUGGCGAGCACAUCACUGCAUCAUUACGAGUGGCGCACGUGAUGUGGCCGGCAUGGGGCCAUCCCGCCGAGGCGGCGGCGGCGGCGAGCCCCCUGCCUCUCGUCCUCCGGUGCCUGGCGCAAGCACUCGCCACCGGCUUCCACCGCUUCCUAGCAAGAUUUUCAGGUCGAAGACGAUCACUAUAUCGAUACAAUCCGAAAUAUCCGCCACCUUGGGCCUUCCUAGUUUUAGUGUUAGCGUCUUCUUUAUUUAGUAUAGUCGAUGCGUGUUCGUCACGCACCACGCCGAAACCGAGGCCUCCAGCACCUACUGCACGGCCUAACAUCACAUUCCACACGUACGAAUGUCCGCCGGCGUACGCGGCCUGGUACUGCCUUAACGGAGCAACGUGCUUUACCGUCAAAAUUGGCGAUUCCCUCCUAUACAAUUGCGAGUGUGCAGAAGGUUACAUGGGUCCUAGAUGUGAAUAUAAAGAUUUAGACGGUUCAUAUUUACCGUCACAACGAAGGUUCAUGUUGGAAACGGCGAGUAUAGCCGGUGGGGCGACGAUAGCCGUUUUUUUAGUGGUGAUAGUGUGCGUCGUUGUGUAUCUGCAGUAUAAACGCUAUAAUAAAAUGAGUCGUGCGAGCACGGACUGCGUGGACGGACACAGCACCCCUUUGAACACGCCGACCUUCGGCACCCGAUGGCGGACGAGUCCGCCGGCGGAUAUCCCGGUGGCGGUGCAAGAAGCGGGCGACUCGAAGGAGGUCAGUUGGAACGUGAUCAGGUCGCAGCGAUACACGCUUCCAAUCAAUCGCGACGUGUGCAGUGCAUAGCUAGCAAACUGCUAUUCAAAUUAACAGUGAUGUCGGCUUUAAUGUGUUAUAGAAUCAAACUAUGCCUUUGUAAACCAACAAAUACAGAACUUAUUGUCAAUCCUUUGGCAGAACCUACAGUUUGGAGUAAUGUUGUCAAACAUUUUGCGAAAUUCCUACGUCCGAAUGCGACUUUUUGGAUUGUUCCGAUUUUGCUAGCUAUGACUUGGCGUUCUCAGUGAGCAGAACUGUGUCACAACAGUGUAUUUGUACAGCAAGUCUGAUAUAUGUGAAGAAGUAAUGGGUCCGCGGAACGAACUGUAGCCCAGUGACCGAAUCGUCGUGGGCAAAAAUACUCUUGUGGCAGUCACCGAAGUCCAUUCCCCAGAUUUUUACAUUGCGGUCAGCUGACCCUGUGGCAAUCAGUGCAGAAUCGGACGAAAUGUCCAAGCAAAGGACUGGCAGUUUGUGGCCGUAUAACGAGAGAUAAAACUUUAAAGUAUCGACGAAAAAUAUCUUGACUGUCGUGUCCAAAAGCCCCACUGCGAUGAAUUUGCCAUUGGGCGAGAUUUUGACGCAUAGAACUGAGUCCUCGAGCUUCAGCGUCUUGACGUGGAGGAGUGAAAGCACUUUGGCUUUGCUUUCGCUUUUCUCGUCGACCACUAACUCGAAUUGCCAGAAUUUGACGGUCUUGUCGCCCCCUCCAGUCACACAACCCCUCUUUAAAAAUUAGUGUUAGUAGAGUUACAAGUUUUGGUUUUGUGAUCAAUUAAAUACUUGGUCUGGUUGUAAACAAAUGGCCCAGA